GAUGAACGCUGGCGGCGUGCUUAACACAUGCAAGUCGAACGAUGAAGCCCAGCUUGCUGGGUGGAUUAGUGGCGAACGGGUGAGUAACACGUGAGUAACCUGCCCUUAACUCUGGGAUAAGCCUGGGAAACUGGGUCUAGUACCGGAUAGGAGCGUCCACCGCAUGGUGGGUGUUGGAAAGAUUUAUCGGUUUUGGAUGGACUCGCGGCCUAUCAGCUUGUUGGUGAGGUAAUGGCUCACCAAGGCGACGACGGGUAGCCGGCCUGAGAGGGUGACCGGCCACACUGGGACUGAGACACGGCCCAGACUCCUACGGGAGGCAGCAGUGGGGAAUAUUGCACAAUGGGCGCAAGCCUGAUGCAGCGACGCCGCGUGAGGGAUGACGGCCUUCGGGUUGUAAACCUCUUUCAGUAGGGAAGAAGCGAAAGUGACGGUACCUGCAGAAGAAGCACCGGCUAACUACGUG
RNAcentral lists this ribosomal RNA (466 nucleotides) under uncultured bacterium. RNAcentral describes it as "partial 16S ribosomal RNA". It matches the Rfam family "Bacterial small subunit ribosomal RNA", at positions 28 to 507 of the family's 1533-position model. The record is from RNAcentral.